This 425-nucleotide ribosomal RNA is filed under the name uncultured bacterium. RNAcentral describes it as "bacterial SSU rRNA". It matches the Rfam family "Bacterial small subunit ribosomal RNA", at positions 355 to 772 of the family's 1533-position model. The record is from RNAcentral.
UGGGGAAUUUUGGACAAUGGGCGCAAGCCUGAUCCAGCCAUUCCGCGUGCAGGAUGAAGGCCCUCGGGUUGUAAACUGCUUUUGUACGGAACGAAACGGCGCUUUCUAAUACAGAGCGCUAAUGACGGUACCGUAAGAAUAAGCACCGGCUAACUACGUGCCACCAGCCGCGGUAAUACAGAGGGUGCAAGCGUUAAUCGGAUUUACUGGGCGUAAAGCGGGCGUAGGCGGUUCAGUAUGUCGGUCGUGAAAUCCCCGGGCUUAACCUGGGAACUGCGGCCGAAACUGCUGGGCUCGAGUGUGGCAGAGGGCGGUGGAAUUCCGGGUGUAGCGGUGAAAUGCGUAGCGAUCCGGAGGAACAUCAAUGGCGAAGGCAGCUGCCUGGGCCACAACUGACGCUGAGGUACGAAAGCGUGGGGAGCAAA